CGCCCAUUAAAGCGGUACGUGAGCUGGGUUUAGAACGUCGCGAGACAGUUCGGUCCCUAUCCACGGUAGGCGUAGGAAAUCUGAAGGGAGCUGUUCCUAGUACGAAAGGACCGGAACGGACGAACAUAUGGUGUACCAGUUGUCCCGCCAGGGGCAGCGCUGGGUAGCUACGUUCGGAAGAGAUAACCGCUGAAGGCAUAUAAGCGGGAAGCUCGCCCUAAGAUUAGAUUUCCCACCCUUCGGGGCUAAAGGUCCCUUGUAGACUACAAGGUUGAUAGGCUGGGCGUGUAAGUCCGGUAACGGAUUUAGCUAACCAGUACUAAUAGACCGUGAGGCUUGACCAUA
Molecule: ribosomal RNA, 345 nt
Filed under: Candidatus Aminicenantota bacterium
Lineage: Bacteria; Candidatus Aminicenantota
Description: Candidatus Aminicenantes bacterium partial 23S ribosomal RNA
Rfam family: Bacterial large subunit ribosomal RNA
Source: RNAcentral